CGGCAACAGCUCAAAUUUGAAAUCUGAAGCCUUCGGCUUUCGAGUUGUAAUUUGUAGAGGAUGCUUCGGUUGUGGCCCCGGCCUAAGUUCCUUGGAACAGGACGUCGCAGAGGGUGAGAAUCCCGUACGCGGCCGGCGGCUUACUUCCAUGUGUAGCUCCUUCGAA
RNAcentral lists this ribosomal RNA (166 nucleotides) under Orbilia sp. Its description in RNAcentral is "partial large subunit ribosomal RNA". It matches the Rfam family "Eukaryotic large subunit ribosomal RNA", at positions 99 to 261 of the family's 3401-position model. Lineage: Eukaryota; Fungi; Ascomycota; Orbiliomycetes; Orbiliales; Orbiliaceae. The record is from RNAcentral.